ACUUAAGGAACUGAGGCAGGAGGAUC
Molecule: non-coding RNA, 26 nt
Filed under: Cricetulus griseus (Chinese hamster)
Lineage: Eukaryota; Metazoa; Chordata; Mammalia; Rodentia; Cricetidae
Source: RNAcentral